This 329-nucleotide unclassified non-coding RNA is filed under the name plant metagenome. Its description in RNAcentral is "partial contains 5.8S ribosomal RNA, internal transcribed spacer 2, and large subunit ribosomal RNA". The stretch from base 1 to 105 matches the Rfam family "5.8S ribosomal RNA", at positions 50 to 154 of the family's 154-position model. The record is from RNAcentral.
GAAAUGCGAUAAGUAAUGUGAAUUGCAGAAUUCCGUGAAUCAUCGAAUCUUUGAACGCACAUUGCGCCCUCUGGUAUUCCGGGGGGCAUGCCUGUCCGAGCGUCAUUGCGAACCCCUCAAGCACGGCUUGUGUGAUGGGCCCGCCCGCGUCUUGGUCGUCAAGACGGGCCCGAAAUGCAGUGGCGGCUUCGCGGUUAUCCGAUCAGCCAGAGCGUAUGGGGACUUUCUCUCUGUCACACGCCCGCGGCGCGGACCGACGCCUGUCGACCUUCAUUCAUCGUUUUCUCGGUUGACCUCGGAUCAGGUAGGGAUACCCGCUGAACUUAAGC